This 1374-nucleotide ribosomal RNA is filed under the name uncultured Staphylococcus sp. RNAcentral's name for it is "bacterial SSU rRNA". It matches the Rfam family "Bacterial small subunit ribosomal RNA", at positions 27 to 1383 of the family's 1533-position model. Lineage: Bacteria; Bacillati; Bacillota; Bacilli; Caryophanales; Staphylococcaceae. The record is from RNAcentral.
GGAUGAACGCUGGCGGCGUGCCUAAUACAUGCAAGUCGAGCGAACAGAUAAGGAGCUUGCUCCUUUGACGUUAGCGGCGGACGGGUGAGUAACACGUGGGUAACCUACCUAUAAGACUGGGAUAACUUCGGGAAACCGGAGCUAAUACCGGAUAAUAUUUCGAACCGCAUGGUUCGAUAGUGAAAGAUGGUUUUGCUAUCACUUAUAGAUGGGCCCGCGCCGUAUUAGCUAGUUGGUAAGGUAACGGCUUACCAAGGCGACGAUACGUAGCCGACCUGAGAGGGUGAUCGGCCACACUGGAACUGAGACACGGUCCAGACUCCUACGGGAGGCAGCAGUAGGGAAUCUUCCGCAAUGGGCGAAAGCCUGACGGAGCAACGCCGCGUGAGUGAUGAAGGUCUUCGGAUCGUAAAACUCUGUUAUUAGGGAAGAACAUACGUGUAAGUAACUAUGCACGUCUUGACGGUACCUAAUCAGAAAGCCACGGCUAACUACGUGCCAGCAGCCGCGGUAAUACGUAGGUGGCAAGCGUUAUCCGGAAUUAUUGGGCGUAAAGCGCGCGUAGGCGGUUUUUUAAGUCUGAUGUGAAAGCCCACGGCUCAACCGUGGAGGGUCAUUGGAAACUGGGAAACUUGAGUGCAUAGAGGAAGUGGAAUUUCCAUGUGUAGCGGUGAAAUGCGCAGAGAUAUGAAGGAACACCAGUGGCGAAGGCGGCUUUCUGGUCUGUAACUGACGCUGAUGUGCGAAAGCGUGGGGAUCAAACAGGAUUAGAUACCCUGGUAGUCCACGCCGUAAACGAUGAGUGCUAAGUGUUAGGGGGUUUCCGCCCCUUAGUGCUGCAGCUAACGCAUUAAGCACUCCGCCUGGGGAGUACGACCGCAAGGUUGAAACUCAAAGGAAUUGACGGGGACCCGCACAAGCGGUGGAGCAUGUGGCUUAAUUCGAAGCAACGCGAAGAACCUUACCAAAUCUUGACAUCCUUUGACAACUCUAGAGAUAGAGCCUUCCCCUUCGGGGGACAAAGUGACAGGUGGUGCAUGGUUGUCGUCAGCUCGUGUCGUGAGAUGUUGGGUUAAGUCCCGCAACGAGCGCAACCCUUAAGCUUAGUUGCCAUCAUUAAGUUGGGCACUCUAAGUUGACUGCCGGUGACAAACCGGAGGAAGGUGGGGAUGACGUCAAAUCAUCAUGCCCCUUAUGAUUUGGGCUACACACGUGCUACAAUGGACAAUACAAAGGGCAGCGAAACCGCGAGGUCAAGCAAAUCCCAUAAAGUUGUUCUCAGUUCGGAUUGUAGUCUGCAACUCGACUACAUGAAGCUGGAAUCGCUAGUAAUUGUAGAUCAGCAUGCUACGGUGAAUACGUUCCCGGGUCUUG